Molecule: non-coding RNA, 27 nt
Filed under: Homo sapiens (human)
Lineage: Eukaryota; Metazoa; Chordata; Mammalia; Primates; Hominidae
Source: RNAcentral
UGCCAAACACCAACAAGCAAGAUGGUU